RNAcentral lists this ribosomal RNA (1428 nucleotides) under uncultured organism. RNAcentral describes it as "16S ribosomal RNA". It matches the Rfam family "Bacterial small subunit ribosomal RNA". The record is from RNAcentral.
GACGAACGCUGGCGGCAUGCUUAACACAUGCAAGUCGAACGGAAAGGCCCUGCUUUUGUGGGGUGCUCGAGUGGCGAACGGGUGAGUAACACGUGAGUAACCUGCCCUUGACUUUGGGAUAACUUCAGGAAACUGGGGCUAAUACCGGAUAGGAGCUCCUGCUGCAUGGUGGGGGUUGGAAAGUUUCGGCGGUUGGGGAUGGACUCGCGGCUUAUCAGCUUGUUGGUGGGGUAGUGGCUUACCAAGGCUUUGACGGGUAGCCGGCCUGAGAGGGUGACCGGCCACAUUGGGACUGAGAUACGGCCCAGACUCCUACGGGAGGCAGCAGUGGGGAAUAUUGCACAAUGGGCGGAAGCCUGAUGCAGCAACGCCGCGUGCGGGAUGACGGCCUUCGGGUUGUAAACCGCUUUCGCCUGUGACGAAGCGUGAGUGACGGUAAUGGGUAAAGAAGCACCGGCUAACUACGUGCCAGCAGCCGCGGUGAUACGUAGGGUGCGAGCGUUGUCCGGAUUUAUUGGGCGUAAAGGGCUCGUAGGUGGUUGAUCGCGUCGGAAGUGUAAUCUUGGGGCUUAACCCUGAGCGUGCUUUCGAUACGGGUUGACUUGAGGAAGGUAGGGGAGAAUGGAAUUCCUGGUGGAGCGGUGGAAUGCGCAGAUAUCAGGAGGAACACCAGUGGCGAAGGCGGUUCUCUGGGCCUUUCCUGACGCUGAGGAGCGAAAGCGUGGGGAGCGAACAGGCUUAGAUACCCUGGUAGUCCACGCUGUAAACGGUGGGUACUAGGUGUGGGGUCCAUUCCACGGGUUCCGUGCCGUAGCUAACGCUUUAAGUACCCCGCCUGGGGAGUACGGCCGCAAGGCUAAAACUCAAAGGAAUUGACGGGGCCCCGCACAAGCGGCGGAGCAUGCGGAUUAAUUCGAUGCAACGCGUAGAACCUUACCUGGGUUUGACAUGGAUCGGGAGUGCUCAGAGAUGGGUGUGCCUCUUUUGGGGUCGGUUCACAGGUGGUGCAUGGCUGUCGUCAGCUCGUGUCGUGAGAUGUUGGGUUAAGUCCCGCAACGAGCGCAACCCUUGUUCACUGUUGCCAGCACGUUAUGGUGGGGACUCAGUGGAGACCGCCGGGGUCAACUCGGAGGAAGGUGGGGAUGACGUCAAGUCAUCAUGCCCCUUAUGUCCAGGGCUUCACGCAUGCUACAAUGGCUGGUACAGAGAGUGGCGAGCCUGUGAGGGUGAGCGAAUCUCGGAAAGCCGGUCUCAGUUCGGAUUGGGGUCUGCAACUCGACCUCAUGAAGUCGGAGUCGCUAGUAAUCGCAGAUCAGCAACGCUGCGGUGAAUACGUUCCCGGGGCUUGUACACACCGCCCGUCAAGUCAUGAAAGUUGGUAACACCCGAAGCCGGUGGAAUAACCGUUGUGGGGGAGCCGUCGAAGGU